GGUCUUGGCCUAGUGGUUAAGGCAUCUGAGUAACACCUUGAUGUCCUGGGUUUGACUCCCGGUGGGAACG
This is a non-coding RNA of Eragrostis curvula (weeping love grass), 70 nucleotides long. Lineage: Eukaryota; Viridiplantae; Streptophyta; Magnoliopsida; Poales; Poaceae. The record is from the annotation of a GenBank genome assembly.